This 295-nucleotide unclassified non-coding RNA is filed under the name uncultured Acaulospora. RNAcentral's name for it is "sequence contains ITS1". The stretch from base 1 to 103 matches the Rfam family "5.8S ribosomal RNA", at positions 50 to 154 of the family's 154-position model. Lineage: Eukaryota; Fungi; Glomeromycota; Glomeromycetes; Diversisporales; Acaulosporaceae. The record is from RNAcentral.
GAAAUGCGAUAAGUAAUGUGAAUUGCAGAAUCCGUGAAUCAUCAAAUCUUUGAACGCACAUUGCACUUCCAGGUUAACUGGAAGUAUUCCUGUUUGAGUGUCUGUUCACCCCUCUCACUGAAUCUCAGUGGUCUCUGGGUCUUUUUAUGUGCACGAAUAGUGCAUGUUGACCUGAAGAUAAAGAUAUACGUCUAUAUAUCCACACAUCAGGAUAAAUACAAUUUAUUCGUGGAGUUAUAUAGUAUACUUUUAAACAUCAGACCUCAAAUCAGGAAAGGAAACCCCCUGAAUUUAA